Molecule: transfer RNA, 92 nt
Filed under: Acidimicrobiia bacterium
Lineage: Bacteria; Bacillati; Actinomycetota; Acidimicrobiia
Description: tRNA-Ser
Rfam family: tRNA
About the family: Transfer RNA (tRNA) molecules are approximately 80 nucleotides in length. Their secondary structure includes four short double-helical elements and three loops (D, anti-codon, and T loops).
Source: RNAcentral
GGAGGGAUGACUGAGCGGUCGAAAGUGACGGUCUUGAAAACCGUUGAACCGGUUUCCCGGUUCCGUGGGUUCAAAUCCCACUCCCUCCGCCA